AAGUCGUAACAAGGUUUCCGUAGGUGAACCUGCGGAAGGAUCAUUAACACGUAUCCAAACGUUAAACCAUAGCCCGGAAAGUUGUAGUGAUUAAGAGACCUCUGGCUACGUGCAAACAUUGGAACAGUACAAUGGAGCGGUAGUUCUAUAGGCAAUGUUUCCCAAUUAGUCAGUGUCGGAAAGUGUCAUUGAUUGUGCAAUCAUAGCGCUUUCUACGAUUUCUGUAGACCGUACACUCGGGCAGGAGCUUUGCCAAAGGGUCCCCAUGCCCCCUAAUAACCCCACAGUUUAAUGUGAAGCUCAAUGUAAUACAGUGGGCAAAAAAACCGAACAACUGGUAACAAUGGAUAUCUUGGUUCUC
RNAcentral lists this unclassified non-coding RNA (361 nucleotides) under fungal sp. RNAcentral's name for it is "partial internal transcribed spacer region". The stretch from base 1 to 46 matches the Rfam family "Eukaryotic small subunit ribosomal RNA", at positions 1786 to 1831 of the family's 1831-position model. The record is from RNAcentral. Lineage: Eukaryota; Fungi.